This 386-nucleotide ribosomal RNA is filed under the name uncultured bacterium. Its description in RNAcentral is "bacterial SSU rRNA". It matches the Rfam family "Bacterial small subunit ribosomal RNA", at positions 28 to 407 of the family's 1533-position model. The record is from RNAcentral.
GACGAACGCUGGCGGCGUGCUUAACACAUGCAAGUCGAACGAGAUUCAUCCAGUAGCAAUACUGGAGAAGAUCUAGUGGCGAACGGGUGCGUAACACGUGAGGAACUUGUCCCGGUCUCUGGGAUAACAGUUGGAAACGACUGCUAAUACCGGAUGACGUCGGAGCGUCGCAUGGCGCGCUGACGAAAGGGUUACUGGAUCGGGAGAGCCUCGCGGCCAUCAGCUUGUUGGUGGGGUAACGGCCUACCAAGGCAUCGACGGGUAGCUGGUCUGAGAGGAUGAUCAGCCACACUGGGACUGAGACACGGCCCAGACUCCUACGGGAGGCAGCAGUGGGGAAUCUUGCACAAUGGGCGAAAGCCUGAUGCAGCAACGCCGCGUGCGGG